CUAUCAGCUUUGGAUGGUAGGAUAUGGGCCUACCAUGGCGUUAACGGGUAACGGGGAAUUAGGGCUUGAUUCCGGAGAGGGAGCCUGAGAAACGGCUACCACAUCCAAGGAAGGCAGCAGGCGCGUAAAUUACCCAAUCCUAAUUCAGGGAGGUAGUGACAAUAAAUAACAAUGCCGGGCUUUAUAAGUCUGGCAAUUGGAAUGAGAACAAUUUAAAUCCCUUAACGAGGAUCAAUUGGAGGGCAAGUCUGGUGCCAGCAGCCGCGGUAAUUCCAGCUCCAAUAGCGUAUAUUAAAGUUGUUGCAGUUAAAAAGCUCGUAGUUGGAUUUCUGAAUAAAAUAUUCGGUCCGUUUGUUUUUAAUAAAUGUGUACUAUUAAUAUUGAGUUCAUUUUUUGUGAGGAAAUUUAUCUGUCAUUAAGUUGAUGGAUUUAUAGACUUGCAUCUUUUACUGUGAAAAAAUUAGAGUGUUUAAAGCAGGCGUUUGCCCUUUUGAAUACAUUAGCAUGGAAUAAUAAAAUAUGGCUUUGGUGGUCUAUUUUGUUGGUUUGCACACCAGAGUAAUGAUUAAUAGGGACAGUUGGGGGUAUUCAUAUUUUAACGUCAGAGGUGAAAUUCUUAGAUCGUUGAAAGAUGAGCUUAGGCGAAAGCAUUUACCAUGGAUGUUUUCUUUAAUCAAGAACGAAAGUUAGGGG
This 693-nucleotide ribosomal RNA is filed under the name uncultured Oomycota. RNAcentral describes it as "SSU rRNA". It matches the Rfam family "Eukaryotic small subunit ribosomal RNA", at positions 312 to 996 of the family's 1831-position model. Lineage: Eukaryota; Oomycota. The record is from RNAcentral.